ACCACCUACUUUGUUCUACUCGUGCCUUAGCACUCCCCCUGUGCCCUGUACUUCCAGAAGUUUAGCCCUUUGUUAGGGCAUCUAGUCUAUAACAUGGCAAGCUACUGUCUAUAACUGAUUUUAGUUAUAUUCUGCUGGAUUUGUACCUCACUCUACUAUAGCACGCUUUAAAAAUGCACAGGGGAAUUGUAGGCAGAGAGGGCACAAAGUACAGCAAAAGAAAAGUACACAGCAAGUUGUGUGUCUGGGAGGGUCAGGAAGGAGUCACACACGGUGACACCACAUCCAAGGGCAAAAUUACUUUCUUUAUUGAACAUAUUUUUUAAUCCCGCCUCUCUCCUUCAAAAGGACCCAAGUUAUGAUCGUUCUUGAUACAAAGCCUCCGGAACUACUGAGUACAGUACUGUGCGCCAGUUAUCCGCCCGAUGCCCUUAUUAGGAGGAAAGGCCCUAAACCUCCCCUUCGAUGAGGAAAUCAGAUCAUAAAUAUCCUCCCCGCCACCCACCCGCACCCAGAGGUGGUUUAAGCGUGCAAGAGGCGGCCUGAGGCGUCCUCCCGGGAGCUGCCUCAGGACCCAGCCUCUCUCUCCAAAAAGCCGCUCCCUUCGACCGUCUCGGCACCUGCUCGAACUUGAGCGGCUCUUUGCUUUAUGAACAGCGAGGGCUCCUCCGUCGUCUCCGGACAGCCCCGAACGAGGAGAGUCGUGGGGAAGGUUUGAGAGAGAGAAAGAAAAGAGUUCACAGGACCAGCGAAACCGCGCCUUUGGAGGAAGAGGCGGCAGCAGCAGCCGCCAUCGCGCGGAUUUUCACUUUCGCUACUUCGAGCGGCCGGGACGCCGGGACGACGCGACGGCCAUGUGGGGACUGUUCUGGGCUCUGCUCCUGCUUCUUCGGUUGGAGCUUCCGCUCGGGGCCUCGCCAGAAGAACAGUGUCAUCAGAAUACCAUCGGUGGCAUUGAAGGAAAAGAUAUUGCUUUACACCCAAAUGUUAGUGGCUCGCCAGCAGAGAUUACCUGGAUGAAAGACAGAAAUAUAGUGGCUACGUCAAUUGAUGGUUUUCCAACAAAGAACAAUUUAGAGCUUAUCGUUAAUAAUGGUAGUUUGAUUCUCCACAACCUGUCACUGAAAGAUGUUGGAUGUUACAAAGCUGAAAUUGAAGUUAAAGAUGAAGUAACAGAAACAUUUUUUGGUUUGAAAGUAUUAGUACCACCUAGUUUAACCUGCUCUACCAAUGAUAGCAUCCAAAUAAGCUGCAAUCUGCCCACCAACAUGCUGGAUCUGUCACCAUCAUAUGAGUGGAAAGGCUUUGAAAAAGAUGAAAUUAUUCAUUCUAAUUGGUCUUUUGUGCAACUUCACAAAAACAUAGACCCUUCUAAGAAAAUCACGUGCAUCAUUACUGCUUUCAAUGUAAAUGUGAGCAACUCCAUCAAUUUGAAUGAAUGUAUCCGGAAAGCCACUGCUCAGAAUGAAGGAGGAAUCUGUCCAAAUGCAAAGUAUGAUCCUAUGCCAUCUCCAGAAGGAGGAAACAUAAGUGAUAAUCAGCCAGAUGUUAACCUAGACUCAGCUGAGAACUUGGAAGGAAGCAGAGAGGAAUCGUCUCCACCAGAAAGUUGAGAACAAAAAGGAGAAUUCCAGGGUUGGAACUGAGGAACUUUGCAAAGCAACACACUUGUUUCGUUCCAGCCGUCUGCUCUUGGCACACAUGUGCAGCGCUUCAGGAGUAAUGGCCUACAGAGGGACUCAUCCAUGGGUGAACCAUAUCAUCUUCUUAUGAGUGGCCUAGCAGUAUUCAUGCUUAUCUCCUCAAAAAAGACACUCAUGUUUUGCACUGAAAACUGAAAAAGGGGAUUUUUGCACUGAAAAGGUGGAUAUUUUCUCAAACACCUGUUUUUAUAUGUAAUACUUUAAAACAUUUUACAUUUAGUGCUUUUUUAAAAUUUAUUUACAGAGCUAACAGAAGGAAAACCCACUAGUCAAUAUCUGGAAGGCUAAAAUAAAAUAAAAUGUGCUUGCUGCCA
This is a long non-coding RNA of Pogona vitticeps (central bearded dragon), 2017 nucleotides long. Ensembl lists it as uncharacterized. The record is from Ensembl. NCBI's taxonomy places the organism in Eukaryota, Metazoa, Chordata, Lepidosauria, Squamata, Agamidae.